RNAcentral lists this ribosomal RNA (292 nucleotides) under uncultured bacterium. RNAcentral's name for it is "partial 16S ribosomal RNA". The record is from RNAcentral. RNAcentral also lists the same sequence under 2 other names.
GGACUACCGGGGUUUCUAAUCCCGUUCGCUCCCCUGGCUUUCGCGCCUCAGCGUCAGAAAGGGUCCAGCACCUCGCCUUCGCCACCGGAGUUCCGGUCGAUAUCAACGCAUUUCACCGCUCCACCGACCGUUCCAGAUGCCCCUACCCUCCUCAAGAUGAGCAGUAUCCACGGCACUUCUCCAGUUAAGCUGGAGGCUUUCACCGCAGACUUGCACACCCGCCUACGCGCCCUUUAAGCCCAGUGAUUCCGAACAACGUUCGCACGGUUCGUCUUACCGCGGCUGCUGGCAC